RNAcentral lists this ribosomal RNA (492 nucleotides) under uncultured bacterium. Its description in RNAcentral is "bacterial SSU rRNA". It matches the Rfam family "Bacterial small subunit ribosomal RNA", at positions 28 to 507 of the family's 1533-position model. The record is from RNAcentral.
GAUGAACGCUAGCUACAGGCUUAACACAUGCAAGUCGAGGGGAAACGAUAGAGAAAGCUUGCUUUUUCUAGGCGUCGACCGGCGCACGGGUGAGUAACGCGUAUCCAACCUGCCCAUCACUUGGGGAUAACCUUGCGAAAGUAAGACUAAUACCCAAUGAUAUCUCUAGAAGACAUCUGAAAGAGAUUAAAGAUUUAUCGGUGAUGGAUGGGGAUGCGUCUGAUUAGCUUGUUGGCGGGGUAACGGCCCACCAAGGCGACGAUCAGUAGGGGUUCUGAGAGGAAGGUCCCCCACAUUGGAACUGAGACACGGUUCAAACUCCUACGGGAGGCAGCAGUGAGGAAUAUUGGUCAAUGGGCGAGAGCCUGAACCAGCCAAGUAGCGUGAAGGAUGAAGGUCCUACGGAUUGUAAACUUCUUUUAUACGGGAAUAAAGUUUCCUACGUGUAGGAUUUUGUAUGUACCGUAUGAAUAAGGACCGGCUAAUUCCGUG